AAAUUAGCCCACUUUCAUGUCUCUGACAAAAGUAAGGUUAAAAAUUCGACAGUUUCUGGUUCUUCUUUAACCAAGGAAAAAGAAGUUUCUGGUUCUCCCUCAACCAAGGAGAAUAAAGCUUCUACUUCCGAGAGUAUCCGUACUCUUUCUGAUAGCUCUCUCCUUAAACUUUCCGAUCGAUAUCCCAAUAGAAGAAACUAUUAUAAACGUCCCCCUUUUCCUGAUACUCAGUAUGAGGAAGACGGUUUUCAGUCUCAAUCAUCCCAUGAUGGUAGAG
RNAcentral lists this long non-coding RNA (277 nucleotides) under Nicotiana benthamiana. RNAcentral's name for it is "long non-coding RNA (NBEN_LNC001752)". The record is from RNAcentral. Lineage: Eukaryota; Viridiplantae; Streptophyta; Magnoliopsida; Solanales; Solanaceae.